UACAGAGGGUGCGAGCGUUAAUCGGAAUUACUGGGCGUAAAGGGCGCGUAGGUGGUUUAGUAAGUUAGAUGUGAAAUCCCUGGGCUUAACCUAGGAACUGCAUCUAAUACUGUUAGACUAGAGUACUGUAGAGGGUAGUGGAAUUUCCGGUGUAGCGGUGAAAUGCGUAGAGAUCGGAAGGAACACCAGUGGCGAAGGCGGCUACCUGGACAGAUACUGACACUGAGGCGCGAAAGCGUGGGGAGCAAACAGG
RNAcentral lists this ribosomal RNA (253 nucleotides) under uncultured bacterium. RNAcentral describes it as "partial 16S ribosomal RNA". It matches the Rfam family "Bacterial small subunit ribosomal RNA", at positions 524 to 776 of the family's 1533-position model. The record is from RNAcentral.